UCACCCCUCAUCCUCUUCCCCAAGCUGCCGUGGAUUACUUCUCCUCUCUCUCCCUCUCACUUCAUGCGAGACUCUCUCCAUUUCUCACGCCACAGCCCAGCAAAGAACGAGCUGCUAGGCGUCUCCUCUUCCUGCGUGCAGCACCGAAAGAAGACUUCAUCACUUCUGCAUCCACGCGUCAUCUUCGGUCAACAGCGGCAGCAACCGAAGCUGCUUGGUUGACCGCAAAAGCCCCGCAUCCGUGCAAAGAUCCGUCGCCAGCAACGCCUGCAAGUUGCCAGGCGUCUUCCACUUCUUCGGUCAAACUUUCCUUCAAUUUUUCU
RNAcentral lists this long non-coding RNA (323 nucleotides) under Eucalyptus grandis. RNAcentral describes it as "long non-coding RNA (EGRA_LNC003273)". The record is from RNAcentral. Lineage: Eukaryota; Viridiplantae; Streptophyta; Magnoliopsida; Myrtales; Myrtaceae.